AUUGAACGCUGGCGGCAGGCCUAACACAUGCAAGUCGAGCGGAUGAAGGGAGCUUGCUCCUGGAUUCAGCGGCGGACGGGUGAGUAAUGCCUAGGAAUCUGCCUGGUAGUGGGGGAUAACGUCCGGAAACGGGCGCUAAUACCGCAUACGUCCUGAGGGAGAAAGUGGGGGAUCUUCGGACCUCACGCUAUCAGAUGAGCCUAGGUCGGAUUAGCUAGUUGGUGGGGUAAAGGCCUACCAAGGCGAGGAUCCGUAACUGGUCUGAGAGGAUGAUAAACCACACCGGAAAUGAGAAACGGUACCAGCCCCUCAGGGAGGCAGGAGGGGGGAAAUUUGGAAAAGGGGGGGAAAGCCGAUCCAGCCCUAGCCAGUGGAGGAAAAAAGCUUUCGGGUUGUAAAAGCACUUUAAGUGGGGGGAAAGGGCAAAAUUUAAAAACCGGCGUGUUUGAAGGUAACCAACAGAAAAAGCCCGGCUAAAUUCGUG
RNAcentral lists this ribosomal RNA (484 nucleotides) under uncultured bacterium. Its description in RNAcentral is "partial 16S ribosomal RNA". It matches the Rfam family "Bacterial small subunit ribosomal RNA", at positions 29 to 507 of the family's 1533-position model. The record is from RNAcentral.